RNAcentral lists this long non-coding RNA (1009 nucleotides) under Homo sapiens (human). RNAcentral describes it as "non-protein coding lnc-NPY1R-2:1". The record is from RNAcentral. Lineage: Eukaryota; Metazoa; Chordata; Mammalia; Primates; Hominidae.
AAAUUCCACCGCAGAUGAGCUGUGGAAAGGUGUUUUAGCAGAGACUGGUGCUGGAGCAAGAAAAGGAAGAGGCAGCAGAACUAAAAAGAAGAGAAGAAAGGAUUUGAACAGGGGUCAGAUCAUUGGUGAAGGGCAUUAUGGUUUCUGUGGCCUGGUCUGAAUGUCUCUCUUAUUAAAAAUGGAGCAGUACAGAUCAUUGCCCAAAAAAGCAAGGAAGAACAGAAGGAGGAGGACAACAUGACCCAGCAGAGAGAAUAAUGGGACCGGAAGAGGAGGAUGAAGAUAAAUGAGAGCGAGGAUGCAGUGGAAACUUGUGGGGAGGCAUCAGUCUUAGCCCUCUGACCCUGGUCCCAACAGAGAAACAUAUGGUAAUUUUGAUACCAGGAUACUUGAGGUAGGAAAGUUUUCAAUAGGACAGCAAAAGAGGGAAGAAAGAGAUUGGUAGGUGUCCUGCAGGCUGUGGGGAAUGGACAACGAGCUUCAAGUUUUGCUGUUGUGAAAGCCACUAAAUAAAUAGAUAGAUGCUUUCAGAAAAGCAAAGAAUAGAGCAAUUCACUAUUUGCAUUAUAUAGAACGAUAUGAAGACCAUACAAUAUUCCGUGAUAUUUCGUUAAGAUUUAAAAGGAGGCAUAUCAAGAUGAAGAAACAACCCAGAGGUUACAAGGUCUGCUGCCACAGGGGCAUCAACACCAUAUGCCAGCUCGCUGGCAUCAAAGACAUGUAUGCCAAGGUCUCUGGGUCCAUCAGUAUGCUCCCCCUCACCUGGGGCCUCUUCCAUGGGCUCUCAGUCAGAAACCCGUCAACAGCUGGCAGGUAAGAAGGGCCUCCAAGUUGUGGAAUUCUGGGAGGAAUGUGACCCUCUGCCUAUCGUGGUUUCCUCCCCAGGGGGACCUUGAAAAAGGAGCCAGGUGAUGAGGUUCCACAUAUCAAACUGGACUUGGAAGAAGUGAAUGCUCUACAGGGAAUGUGGCGCUCUGUGCGGUCGGGUUUCUAGAGAGCCGCCACGUAA